UACGUAGGGCGCAAGCGUUAUCCGGAAUUAUUGGGCGUAAAGAGCUCGUAGGCGGUUUGUCGCGUCUGCUGUGAAAACGCGAGGCUCAACCUCGGACUUGCAGUGGGUACGGGCAGACUAGAGGUGUGGUAGGGGAGACUGGAAUUCCUGGUGUAGCGGUGGAAUGCGUAGGAUAUGCGGAGGAACACCGAUGGCGAAGGCAAUCCCCUGGACCUGUACUGACGCUCAUGCACGAAAGCGUUGGGGAGCAAACAG
RNAcentral lists this ribosomal RNA (255 nucleotides) under uncultured bacterium. RNAcentral describes it as "partial 16S ribosomal RNA". It matches the Rfam family "Bacterial small subunit ribosomal RNA", at positions 524 to 775 of the family's 1533-position model. The record is from RNAcentral.